GAUGAACGCUGGCGGCGUGCCUAAUACAUGCAAGUCGAGCGAACAGAUGAGGAGCUUGCUCCUCUGACGUUAGCGGCGGACGGGUGAGUAACACGUGGAUAACCUACCUAUAAGACUGGGAUAACUUCGGGAAACCGGAGCUAAUACCGGAUAAUAUAUUGAACCGCAUGGUUAAAUAGUGAAAGACGGUUUUGCUGUCACUUAUAGAUGGAUCCGCGCCGCAUUAGCUAGUUGGUAAGGUAACGGCUUACCAAGGCGACGAUGCGUAGCCGACCUGAGAGGGUGAUCGGCCACACUGGACCUGAGACACGGUCCAGACUCCUACGGGAGGCAGCAGUAGGGAAUCUUCCGCAAUGGGCGAAAGCCUGACGGAGCAACGCCGCGUGAGUGAUGAAGGUCUUCGGAUCGUAAAACUCUGUUAUUAGGGAAGAACAAAUGUGUAAGUAACUAUGCACGUCUUGACGGUACCUAAUCAGAAAGCCACGGCUAACUACGUG
Molecule: ribosomal RNA, 497 nt
Filed under: uncultured bacterium
Lineage: Bacteria
Description: partial 16S ribosomal RNA
Rfam family: Bacterial small subunit ribosomal RNA
Source: RNAcentral